RNAcentral lists this ribosomal RNA (465 nucleotides) under uncultured bacterium. RNAcentral describes it as "partial 16S ribosomal RNA". It matches the Rfam family "Bacterial small subunit ribosomal RNA", at positions 28 to 506 of the family's 1533-position model. The record is from RNAcentral.
GAUGAACGCUGGCGGCGUGCUUAACACAUGCAAGUCGAACGGAAAGGCUCCUGCUUGCAGGGGUACUCGAGUGGCGAACGGGUGAGUAACACGUGGGUGAUCUGCCCUGCACUUCGGGAUAAGCCUGGGAAACUGGGUCUAAUACCGGAUAGGACGAUGGUUUGGAUGCCAUUGUGGAAAGUUUUUUCGGUGUGGGAUGAGCUCGCGGCCUAUCAGCUUGUUGGUGGGGUAAUGGCCUACCAAGGCGUCGACGGGUAGCCGGCCUGAGAGGGUGUACGGCCACAUUGGGACUGAGAUACGGCCCAGGCUCCUACGGGAGGCAGCAGUGGGGAAUAUUGCACAAUGGGCGCAAGCCUGAUGCAGCGACGCCGCGUGGGGGAUGACGGCCUUCGGGUUGUAAACUCCUUUCGCUAGGGACGAAGCGCAAGUGACGGUACCUGGAGAAGAAGCACCGGCUAACUACGU